CUGUAAAUGUCACUUCAGUAGUACAAACGCAGAUAUUUUAGUUAGUACAGUUUUCCAAUUUCAUCUGUGUAUUCAGCUACAGAUAAUUGAGUUUGUUUGCCUGUUGGUAAAUUAUUCAUUAACUCACUCCUGAAGUUUUUAGUUACAGAAAUCUAAAGUCUUGCUUUCUCUUGUUAAUGUAGAUAAGCUGAUAAUUUUGUCCUCUCAUCUUUGGCUUUGAACACAUGGUUCGUGUGGCUGAAAAUUCUUAAGGUCUCUUGAUUUUAAUUUGAAUAAGAAGAUAAGUGCAAUGAUUUAAUUAUUUCAAUAUGAAAUUUCUUGUGGUGGCUAUUAACUCUGCUUUUUUUCUUCUUCUUGGACUUUUUUUCCUGUAGGAUUUGUGUUUUCCAACUAAGCAGCUGACAGAUCUAUUGACCCAUAGAUUCCUACAAAGGCUAAAAUUUUCUUUGAAAUUUCUUCUCAUGGCCCUCUUGUUCGCAGUGGCACAGUCUUUGUGUAUACCCAUUGAUCUGUUUAUUCUGUUUUGUCUUGCCUGGUUAUGUUAUCCUGUGAAACUGUCUUAUAAGUGGAGUUAGUAAAUUAAAUUGCUGGUCAAAAUUUUCCAUUUGAACUGCCUGAAUGCUGCAUUCUGUUUAUAUCUGCAAUAUGUUGUUAUACAGAAACAACAUGAGUUUGAUGCAUGAAAUCCUUGUUGAGUUGUCUUCAAUAUGCUCCACUGAAAUUGACACUAUGUUACUGUAGCACAUUUGUCAAAAGUUGACCAGUAGUGUAUGUAAUGCUUAAUACUUAAGGCUUUGAUCAUAUUCUAUUAGCCAUGUGAGUUUCAAGUGUUUGUUUAUUGGAGAUGACUUUUGAUGCAUUAGAAUCCAUGUCGACUGCAAAUGUUAUAGAGAAUCUCUCUCUCUCUCUCUCUCUCUCUCUCUUUUUCUUGCUGACUCAUUGAAAGUGAUGGUUUGGUCUUUAUUCAGGUGACGAAGAUUGCGCUUUUGGCUAUUUGCUCAUCAAGUAAAGGCUAAGAAAUGUUGAAGGCGUGGACGACAUUGGAUAUUGACUCAAACAGAAAGGACAAGACAUGGUUUCCCAUAAAUAUCCAAGGAAAUAUCACAGGAGGAUUUAUCUAGUUUACACAUGUAGACGGAAAGAUCUGACAAUAUCAAUAAUUCAAUACAGUACUGCGCAAGGAGCAGAUAUUUUGUGAGCCAUCAAGAGAGGUUUCAAGAUUCUGCAAUGGGGAAAGCUGAGCCGAUACGGUUGUUGCCAAGUCGGUAACAUUUGACAUUGACAUUGUAUGGACCCAACUGUAUGUGGUUUUCUUCUCUGCCCAUGAAGAAACACAUCGUGUAUAGAGCCAACUCGAACUCUGGACUUACUCCAACUAGAGUACUUGAGACUGAUUUUAGAACACCGUUCCACUCGAAUUGGAUUGUUAGCAGCUGAGUCUCUGAAUCAGGCUGCGUAUGAAUCAAAAGUGUGAUUUCUAGGUUAGUCACCUGUUUUGAAGUACUUAUAUUUGAAGGACAAUUUAGCAUUGAAUGAAGCUAUGGUACUUACAAUUUCACCGCGACGUCGGGGAAAUAUAUAGCCUUGAUAAUCUACAGUUCCUUUGGCUUCCUCCAAGUAAAACUACGAUAAAAGAGAGCCCAAAUUUAAUAGUUCGUAAGUUUUACUGUUUUCAUCCGGGCUUUCCAGAGAUUUGAAUUCAUGGCGGGGAGGACAAAAAGUGUUUUACCUGAAGCCAGUUAUGGAAUCCGGAGACUUGCUCCCCACCAGAUUGUUUGAUCUCACCUACAAAGACAUGCUCAAACGCAGAAGAUGAGCCAGAGGUACCUCCGCGGCCAUAGAGAUCAAACCAGAGACUUGUCAACAUUCUCUUGAACUCCUGGUAGCUUCCAGGAGCAACGUCCUUGAGCACAAGGUACUUGUGGAGGUACUUGAUCACAGCGGUUCUGCUAAUUUCUUCAAUGAAAGCCGCUUGCUCUUGCCUCUCUUCUUCUGUGACUACUUCUUUGUAACCUUCGUUCGGGUUGUAGUUGUCAAGCAAUGAACAGAAUCUGGCGUAAGUCGGUUUUCUAAAGGCUUCGUUGCUCACCCAAGAGAAGAGUAGUCCUUCAGCCAUAUCAGCUCUCUCAUGGACCCUUUUCCCAUCUCCGCAGUCGAUUUGAUAAUCGUUUCCAGGAACAAGGCGGUUUGAAUCGAGCUCCCACAGUUUGUUGCAAGCUUCUGAGAGACCUGAGAGCUCUAGUUGUGAGGGUUGUAGGUUUCCAUAAGUUUCAACUUCGUCUGAGUAGUGUUGUUCGCUUGCUGGGCGUUUGUAAUCUUGCCAUUGCUCCUUCUGGACCUGCGGAGAAAGAGAGAUCACACAUAUCAAAUCAGUGAAAGGACGGGUAAAAUCAGCGGUUAGGGCUCCGUCUUGGUUUCAAAAUUUCAAACCUUAUGCGAUUGCCUAGCAGGUUUCUUUUUUCCCACAGUUUCCCAACCAUCAUUGUCCUCUUGCUGGCUCUCCUGCACAUGGAAUCAAAUGCCAACAUUAGAUACUUAGCAAACAUGCUAAACUGACAUUAGUUUUUUUAAGAGGAUCUAAUGUAAAGAGGAAAUGAAGUUAUAUCUCACCGAGAAGUCUUGUUUCUCGGCUACUUUAGCCGCAUAUGUAUCCUCUUCCUGGUCCUCCUGUGUGGGAAAAUCAAAAUGCCAAAUCUUUGAGGCUUGUUUUGCAGGUAAAGACUAAAGAGUAAAGAGCAUGAUCUAUUUUGAAUGAAAUAAAGAUAACAGACCCAAGUUUAAGAGA
This is a long non-coding RNA of Arabidopsis lyrata subsp. lyrata, 2785 nucleotides long. RefSeq lists it as uncharacterized. Lineage: Eukaryota; Viridiplantae; Streptophyta; Magnoliopsida; Brassicales; Brassicaceae. The transcript has 3 exons. The record is from RefSeq and is a predicted model, not a curated record.